This 552-nucleotide long non-coding RNA is filed under the name Capsella grandiflora. Its description in RNAcentral is "long non-coding RNA (CGRA_LNC000150)". The record is from RNAcentral. Lineage: Eukaryota; Viridiplantae; Streptophyta; Magnoliopsida; Brassicales; Brassicaceae.
UCGAUCGUAUGCAUGUCGAGUAAUGCUUGUUCCUCUGCUUCGCUCUGCAUGUCUCCUAAGUACCUGAAACACUCCAAAUAUGCACAAUUUAUGCAAGACAUGCAUGAUAUGCAUAAAACCUACCUAAGUAUGUAAAACAUGCAGAAAGUGACCAAUAUGAUGCGAAUCAACAAAUGAAUGAUGCUGAAAAGAUGAUGAAUACAUGCUCAAAAAGUGAUGAAAUACAGACUUGUGUUCAUAUGAUUGUGAAGCUCAGCUAACUGCUUUGCUUGUUCAAGGCGGCUGUUGGAUUGUGCUUGGAGAAGUUGAUUAAUUAUUGUUUGGACAUCUUGUUCUGGGGGUGCAUGAGUAGGGUGAUGUUGGAACCCUGGAGGAUGUGCCAUAGGUUGUUGAUAAGAACCUUGGGACUGCUGUUGAGGUUGAAAAGCUUGUUUUUGAUUAAAGCCAACUAACGGCUUGUUCUGGAAUUGUUGUUGUUGAGGUGGAUAGACUUGAUCUUGAAGGUUUGCAACGUUGGUGCUUAUAUAAGAAAGGUUCGGGUUGGGUUUAUAG